UUAAUUUGAGGGGGAAAAUUAAUAAUUUAAAUUUAAUAAAAGAAAUUUUAAUAUUAAAAAGAAAAAUGGGGGUUUGAGUAUUUUUAAUAGAAAAAAUUAAAAGUUUUAUAGUUAAAUAUUACUGUAAAGGAAUUUAUAAAUAAAUGAAAUAUAAUUAAUGAAAAAGUAAAUUUAAAUUAUUGUAUCUUGUGUAUCAGAGUUUAUUAAAUAAUAAUAAUUUAUUUAAAUAAAUCUCGAAUUUAAAAGAGUUAAUUAAUUAAAAAAGUUAAUGUUGUAUAAUUAUUUUAAAUAAUUAAUUAGAAAUGAAAUGUUAAUCGUUUUUAAAUAUAUCUAGUUUUUUCAGAAAAAAAUUUAAUUUUAAAUUUAAAUAAUUUUAUAAUUAUUUAAUUAAUUAUAAAAAUUUAAAUUUUAAUAUUUUAGGGGAUAAGCUUUAAAUUAAAAAUUUAUAAUUAAAAAUAAUUAAAAUUAAAAUUUUUAAAAUUUAUAUUGUUUAAAAAUUAUAGUUUAUUAUAAAAAAUUUUAUUAAAAAUAAAAUUUAAAAUAAAAAAAUUUAAAUUUUUAUGAAAAAAUAAUUUAUAAUUUAAUAAAAUUAGAAAUAAUGAUAAAAUUAGUAUAAUAUAAUAAAUUAAAAAAAAAAUUAUAAAUAAUUAAGUUAAAGGAAUUCGGCAAAAAUUUAUAUUCACUUGUUUAUCAAAAACAUGUCUUUUUGAUAAUAAUUUAAAGUCUAAUCUGCCCACUGAUAUUAUAUUAAAGGGCUGCAGUAUAUUGACUGUACAAAGGUAGCAUAAUCAUUAGUCUUUUAAUUGAAGACUUGUAUGAAAGAUUUGAUGAAAUAUAAACUGUCUCUAAUUUAUGAUUAGAAAUUAAUUUUUUAGUUAAAAAGCUAAAAUAAAAUUAAAAGACGAGAAGACCCUAUAGAGUUUUAUAUUUUAUUUAAUUAAUAUUAAAUAUAUAAUUAAAUAUAUUAAUUAAAUAAAAUAUUGUGUUGGGGUGAUAGAAAAAUUUAAUAAACUUUUUUUAAAAUUAAACAUAAAUAAGUGGUUAAUUGAUCCAUUAAUAAUGAUUAAAAGAAAAAAUUACCUUAGGGAUAACAGCGUAAUAUUUUUUUUUAGUACGUAUAAAAAAAAAAGUUUGCGACCUCGAUGUUGGAUUAAGAUAAAAUUUAAAUGCAAAAGUUUAAAAUUUUGAUCUGUUCGAUCAUUAAAAUCUUACAUGAUCUGAGUUCAAACCGGUGUAAGCCAGGUUGGUUUCUAUCUUUAAUAAAAAAAAAUAUUUUAGUACGAAAGGAUCAAAUAUUUAAAAUAAUUUUAUAAUAAUGAAUAUUAAUA
RNAcentral lists this ribosomal RNA (1328 nucleotides) under Junonia orithya madagascariensis. Its description in RNAcentral is "16S ribosomal RNA". Lineage: Eukaryota; Metazoa; Arthropoda; Insecta; Lepidoptera; Nymphalidae. The record is from RNAcentral.